CUAGCUUUGAUAGCGUUCUUCGAAAAAUGGUGAGUAAAUUGUGCCCCGUCAAUGGUUGUUAAACUCAGAGUAAUCAAGUAAAUAGCUCUGCAACGCGCUUCAAUCCAUAAAGGACAAUUUCGAUGAAUCGUGCUCCAAAAACCAGAGUAUUCCUCAACCUCUGACAACUUUUGAGUACUAAUCCAGUUAGGAAGACAAGCUUUCUUCCAAGAUUGAAUAUCAUGUGUUCCAUUUUGGGCUCACCGUUUAUGUUACCAUCCACUGAUAUCUAAAAGAAUAAUACCACACAGUAGCUUGAAUCUGAUUGAGGUGAUGGGCCAUACACCAGCUUAUAUUUCUUUGGAUUGGGAAAGACAUGCUCGUUCUAAGGAUCAGUCGCGUGGAUUGAAACAAAUGGUAAUUACCAUUGACUCACAAAUGUUUCUAUCCAUUCUGAGAUGGAAACCCCAGAGCUUGAUCUCAACCUCAAGGAUAACGGUUUGGUGAGCCAUGAAGACGCAGUACAAUUGAAUACAAGCACGGACUCCACACCACGUAGCCAAAAACCGAUAGAAUUCAUAGGCCUUAAACUGAUUUUGCUUCAGAUGAGACAACUUAACUUCAUUGAGACUUCAUUGGGAUUGUGGCGAUGUUUACUUAAUUAAUGAUGAAUCAUGAAUCUGAAUUAAUGAAUUAUCAUUAUUUUAAUAUCAUGAACUAAAUUUCAAAAACGUCCAUGACAAUAUAUGAAUCUGUCUGAACAGAAUG
Daphnia carinata is the source of this 747-nucleotide long non-coding RNA. RefSeq lists it as uncharacterized. NCBI's taxonomy places the organism in Eukaryota, Metazoa, Arthropoda, Branchiopoda, Diplostraca, Daphniidae. The transcript has 5 exons. The record is from RefSeq and is a predicted model, not a curated record.